UCCCUACGGGGGGCAGCAGUGGGGAAUAUUGCGCAAUGGGGGAAACCCUGACGCAGCAACGCCGCGUGAGUGAGGAAGUAUCUCGGUAUGUAAAGCUCUAUCAGCGGGGAAGAAGGAAGACGGUACCCGACUAAGAAGCCCCGGCUAACUACGUGCCAGCAGCCGCGGUAAUACGUAGGGGGCAAGCGUUAUCCGGAUUUACUGGGUGUAAAGGGAGCGUAGACGGCGAUGCAAGUCUGAAGUGAAAGGCGGGGGCCCAACCCCCGGACUGCUUUGGAAACUGUAUAGCUGGAGUGCAGGAGAGG
Molecule: ribosomal RNA, 305 nt
Filed under: uncultured bacterium
Lineage: Bacteria
Description: bacterial SSU rRNA
Rfam family: Bacterial small subunit ribosomal RNA
Source: RNAcentral